This is a long non-coding RNA of Electrophorus electricus (electric eel), 724 nucleotides long. The record is from Ensembl. NCBI's taxonomy places the organism in Eukaryota, Metazoa, Chordata, Actinopteri, Gymnotiformes, Gymnotidae.
CUAAAGUGAGUGCUUCAGACUGUCAGAAGUGGUCUGUUGACAUGAAGACAUCUGGACACAGGAACUCUGAGCCCUUGGCCUGGGGGCAGGAUUCAGAGGGAGGCACAUGGACUGGCAUGGAUGGGAGAAUUAAGACUGACCUGAACCCAUUGAGCUUUCCCAUGCUUGGAUUAAAACAAUCAGCUGGAGAACCUGUGACUCAGGCUUCUGCUGACAUAGGAAAAUGGGACCGCAUAGCCACUGUUGACGAGUGGUCUGGAUUCAGUAAGACUAAGUAGUAACUUAAAGUAAAUAACUGCACAUGAUUUGCUCAGCACAUGGUUUGAUCAAUAUAGCCAUCACAAAUGCAUGCAUAAGUUUUCUCCAUACAAAUUUACCAAUUUGUUUUAGACAGUAUAUGUAAUGAACUGAUAUGAUUUCAGAUGGUUUAGGAGCUGUGGAUCCAAGUUCGGACUGGAAUGCCCCAGCUGAGCUGUGGGGGAACUAUGAAGAACCUAAAGCAGAGACGCUUGUUCCCAAAGAGACACCUGUAUCCCAGCCAUCCAGGUUACAGGAGUCCGAUGAUGAUGAUGAUGAUAAAGAGAAGGAAGAUCCUUCUGGAAGUAGCAAGUCCAAAAGAAAAAAGAAAAAGAAGAAGAAGCCAGAGGAUGAAAAUGUAUUGUCCCAUGUAAGACUUUACUUAGCAAUGCUUAUUGCUGUAGUAUUAAAAAAGUUAUCAAAUUAA